This 434-nucleotide ribosomal RNA is filed under the name uncultured bacterium. RNAcentral describes it as "partial 16S ribosomal RNA". It matches the Rfam family "Bacterial small subunit ribosomal RNA", at positions 29 to 507 of the family's 1533-position model. The record is from RNAcentral.
AGCGAACGCUGGCGGCAGGCCUAACACAUGCAAGUCGAACGAACCUUUCGGGGUUAGUGGCGGACGGGUGAGUAACACGUGGGAACGUGCCUUUAGGUUCGGAAUAACUCAGGGAAACUUGUGCUAAUACCGAAUGUGCCCUUCGGGGGAAAGAUUUAUCGCCUUUAGAGCGGCCCGCGUCUGAUUAGCUAGUUGGUUGAGGUAAUGGCUCACCAAGGCGACGAUCAGUAGCUGGUCUGAGAGGAUGAUCAGCCACAUUGGGACUGAGAAACGGCCCAAACUCCUCCGGGGGGCAGCAGUGGGUAAUGUGGGGAAGGGGGCGAAAGCCUGACGCACCCAGGCCGGGUGAAUGAGGAAGGUUUUAGGAUAGAAAAAUUCUUGCGCGGGGGAGGAUAAUGACGGUACCGGGAAAAAAAGCCCCGACUAAGUUCGUG